AGAGCCGCAACCUGCACAGCCAUGCCCGGGCAAGAACUCAGGACGGUGAAUGGCUCUCAGAUGCUCCUGGUGUUGCUGGUGCUCUCGUGGCUGCCGCAUGGGGGCGCCCUGUCUCUGGCCGAGGCGAGCCGCGCAAGUUUCCCGGGACCCUCAGAGUUGCACUCCGAAGACUCCAGAUUCCGAGAGUUGCGGAAACGCUACGAGGACCUGCUAACCAGGCUGCGGGCCAACCAGAGCUGGGAAGAUUCGAACACCGACCUCGUCCCGGCCCCUGCAGUCCGGAUACUCACGCCAGAAGGUAAUGCGGCUGGGAUCCGGCGGCCACCUGCACCUGCGUAUCUCUCGGGCCGCCCUUCCCGAGGGGCUCCCCGAGGCCUCCCGCCUUCACCGGGCUCUGUUCCGGCUGUCCCCGACGGCGUCAAGGUCGUGGGACGUGACACGACCGCUGCGGCGUCAGCUCAGCCUUGCAAGACCCCAGGCGCCCGCGCUGCACCUGCGACUGUCGCCGCCGCCGUCGCAGUCGGACCAACUGCUGGCAGAAUCUUCGUCCGCACGGCCCCAGCUGGAGUUGCACUUGCGGCCGCAAGCCGCCAGGGGGCGCCGCAGAGCGCGUGCGCGCAACGGGGACCACUGUCCGCUCGGGCCCGGGCGUUGCUGCCGUCUGCACACGGUCCGCGCGUCGCUGGAAGACCUGGGCUGGGCCGAUUGGGUGCUGUCGCCACGGGAGGUGCAAGUGACCAUGUGCAUCGGCGCGUGCCCGAGCCAGUUCCGGGCGGCAAACAUGCACGCGCAGAUCAAGACGAGCCUGCACCGCCUGAAGCCCGACACGGUGCCAGCGCCCUGCUGCGUGCCCGCCAGCUACAAUCCCAUGGUGCUCAUUCAAAAGACCGACACCGGGGUGUCGCUCCAGACCUAUGAUGACUUGUUAGCCAAAGACUGCCACUGCAUAUGAGCAGUCCUGGUCCUUCCACUGUGCACCUGCGCGGAGGACGCGACCUCAGUUGUCCUGCCCUGUGGAAUGGGCUCAAGGUUCCUGAGACACCCGAUUCCUGCCCAAACAGCUGUAUUUAUAUAAGUCUGUUAUUUAUUAUUAAUUUAUUGGGGUGACCUUCUUGGGGACUCGGGGGCUGGUCUGAUGGAACUGUGUAUUUAUUUAAAACUCUGGUGAUAAAAAUAAAGCUGUCUGAAC
Molecule: long non-coding RNA, 1189 nt
Filed under: Homo sapiens (human)
Lineage: Eukaryota; Metazoa; Chordata; Mammalia; Primates; Hominidae
Description: long non-coding RNA NONHSAT179533.1
Source: RNAcentral